RNAcentral lists this ribosomal RNA (1372 nucleotides) under uncultured bacterium. RNAcentral describes it as "bacterial SSU rRNA". It matches the Rfam family "Bacterial small subunit ribosomal RNA", at positions 28 to 1381 of the family's 1533-position model. The record is from RNAcentral.
GAUGAACGCUGGCGGCGUGCCUAAUACAUGCAAGUCGAGCGAACGGACGAGAAGCUUGCUUCUCUGAUGUUAGCGGCGGACGGGUGAGUAACACGUGGAUAACCUACCUAUAAGACUGGGAUAACUUCGGGAAACCGGAGCUAAUACCGGAUAAUAUUUUGAACCGCAUGGUUCAAAAGUGAAAGACGGUCUUGCUGUCACUUAUAGAUGGAUCCGCGCUGCAUUAGCUAGUUGGUAAGGUAACGGCUUACCAAGGCAACGAUGCAUAGCCGACCUGAGAGGGUGAUCGGCCACACUGGAACUGAGACACGGUCCAGACUCCUACGGGAGGCAGCAGUAGGGAAUCUUCCGCAAUGGGCGAAAGCCUGACGGAGCAACGCCGCGUGAGUGAUGAAGGUCUUCGGAUCGUAAAACUCUGUUAUUAGGGAAGAACAUAUGUGUAAGUAACUGUGCACAUCUUGACGGUACCUAAUCAGAAAGCCACGGCUAACUACGUGCCAGCAGCCGCGGUAAUACGUAGGUGGCAAGCGUUAUCCGGAAUUAUUGGGCGUAAAGCGCGCGUAGGCGGUUUUUUAAGUCUGAUGUGAAAGCCCACGGCUCAACCGUGGAGGGUCAUUGGAAACUGGAAAACUUGAGUGCAGAAGAGGAAAGUGGAAUUCCAUGUGUAGCGGUGAAAUGCGCAGAGAUAUGGAGGAACACCAGUGGCGAAGGCGACUUUCUGGUCUGUAACUGACGCUGAUGUGCGAAAGCGUGGGGAUCAAACAGGAUUAGAUACCCUGGUAGUCCACGCCGUAAACGAUGAGUGCUAAGUGUUAGGGGGUUUCCGCCCCUUAGUGCUGCAGCUAACGCAUUAAGCACUCCGCCUGGGGAGUACGACCGCAAGGUUGAAACUCAAAGGAAUUGACGGGGACCCGCACAAGCGGUGGAGCAUGUGGUUUAAUUCGAAGCAGCGCGAAGAACCUUACCAAAUCUUGACAUCCUUUGACAACUCUAGAGAUAGAGCCUUCCCCUUCGGGGGACAAAGUGACAGGUGGUGCAUGGUUGUCGUCAGCUCGUGUCGUGAGAUGUUGGGUUAAGUCCCGCAACGAGCGCAACCCUUAAGCUUAGUUGCCAUCAUUAAGUUGGGCACUCUAAGUUGACUGCCGGUGACAAACCGGAGGAAGGUGGGGAUGACGUCAAAUCAUCAUGCCCCUUAUGAUUUGGGCUACACACGUGCUACAAUGGACAAUACAAAGGGCAGCGAAACCGCGAGGUCAAGCAAAUCCCAUAAAGUUGUUCUCAGUUCGGAUUGUAGUCUGCAACUCGACUACAUGAAGCUGGAAUCGCUAGUAAUCGUAGAUCAGCAUGCUACGGUGAAUACGUUCCCGGGUCU